UUUAGGUAGCAGGUAGUGAGAGCAAUGAAUGCGUGUUCAGCAGGGGCACUCCUACACAUGCACGGCAGAGUCUGAGUUUAGCCUUACCAUGUCCUGCGCCUUCUCCAUGCUCUAUCAUUGUUUAUGAAGACGAGACCUUAACACAAACACCAGCAGAAAAUGCAGUACUAGCUCAAGUUGAUGUCACAACAUUCUUAGAAAGCUCAAAAUUUGUGAAAAUGGACUUUCACCUGAAGAGUGAUGGAAGUCUCCA
Penaeus vannamei (Pacific white shrimp) is the source of this 253-nucleotide non-coding RNA. The record is from RefSeq and is a predicted model, not a curated record. NCBI's taxonomy places the organism in Eukaryota, Metazoa, Arthropoda, Malacostraca, Decapoda, Penaeidae.